CGCGUAGGCGGGUAUCCAAGUCCGUGGUGAAAUCCGGCAGCUUAACUGUCGAACUGCCGCGGAUACUGGGUAUCUCGAGGGAGGUAGGGGCGUGCGGAACUAUUGGUGGAGCGGUGAAAUGCGUUGAUAUCAAUAGGAACUCCGGUGGCGAAGGCGGCACGCUGGACCUCUUCUGACGCUGAGGCGCGAAAGCCAGGGGAGCAAACGGGAUUAGAUACCCCGGUAGUCCUGGCCCUAAACGUUGGGUACUAGAUAGUAGUCUUCACAUGGGAUUACUGUCGAAGCAAAAGUGCUAAGUACCCCGCCUGGGGAGUAUGGUCGCAAGGCUGAA
This 331-nucleotide ribosomal RNA is filed under the name uncultured bacterium. RNAcentral's name for it is "bacterial SSU rRNA". It matches the Rfam family "Bacterial small subunit ribosomal RNA", at positions 568 to 898 of the family's 1533-position model. The record is from RNAcentral.